AGCGAACGCUGGCGGCAUGCUUAACACAUGCAAGUCGCACGGGCAGCAAUGUCAGUGGCGGACGGGUGAGUAACGCGUAGGAACGUGUCCUGAGGUGGGGGACAACCCCGGGAAACUGGGGCUAAUACCGCAUAUGGGCUGAGGCCCAAAGCCGAGAGGCGCCUUUGGAGCGGCCUGCGUCCGAUUAGGUAGUUGGUGGGGUAAAGGCCUACCAAGCCUGCGAUCGGUAGCUGGUCGGCGAGGACGCCCAGCCACACUGGGCCUGAGACACGGCCCAGACUCCUGCUGCCGGCAUCCGUGGGGCGUGUUGGGCCCUGGGCGCCCGCCUGCUCCAGCCAUGCCGCGUGGGUGAAGAAGGUCUUCGGAUCGUAAAGCCCUUUCGCCGGGGCCGAUGCUGCCGGUCCCCGUCGCCGCCGCCCCGGCUCCCUUCGUG
This 433-nucleotide ribosomal RNA is filed under the name uncultured bacterium. Its description in RNAcentral is "partial 16S ribosomal RNA". It matches the Rfam family "Bacterial small subunit ribosomal RNA", at positions 28 to 507 of the family's 1533-position model. The record is from RNAcentral.